This 35-nucleotide ribosomal RNA is filed under the name uncultured Rickettsia sp. Its description in RNAcentral is "partial 23S ribosomal RNA". The record is from RNAcentral. Lineage: Bacteria; Pseudomonadati; Pseudomonadota; Alphaproteobacteria; Rickettsiales; Rickettsiaceae.
UACGAUACUAAUAGCUCGAUUGAUUUACUUUGCUG